Molecule: long non-coding RNA, 2257 nt
Organism: Betta splendens (Siamese fighting fish)
Lineage: Eukaryota; Metazoa; Chordata; Actinopteri; Anabantiformes; Osphronemidae
Exons: 2
Source: RefSeq, a predicted model, not a curated record
CUCAACAUACCGUUCAAACGUUUGGAGUCACUUAGAAAUUUCCUUAUUUUUAACAGAAAUGCCACUUUUUUGCAAUGAACGAUUCAGAAACACGCUGUAAAUGAUACCCGGUGUAGUAACUACAUCGUUAAAUUAUGUCUAUAUCUCUAUAAAAAGCUUAUUUUGGUGAUCACAGAACAUUGUGCAUGUUUUUUGGUGAUGUCAGCCUGUUUCAGAAGAUGCAUUAAUGUUUCUGUAUGCAAUUAUUAUAAUGAUGUCUGCGUGUGGUCGGCCCGCUCCGCUCGUGUGGGGUGGUGGACUGAGGCCCCACUGGGCGCGGGGGCAUCUCCUGGUGGGCUCCCUACGGACCGUGGGUCCUCGGGCUCCACUCGUUCAGGCCGACCCUCCCACCGGGGGGAGUGUGUGCCCCUGGUUCUCAGGGGGCGGACAGCGUUGACCCACGGUGGCCCACUCUGACCUCGGGUGCUGUCUCUGUGGCUGCUGCAGCUCUGUGGGGGGCUCUGUGUGUGUCCAACACCUGCCUCCUGGAAGGGCAGGUGUCCUGUGUUUUUUUAUCUACAUUUGCUUCAUUAUUUUUUCUGGUUUAAGCAGCUGGUUGUUCUCCACACAUGCACUCACGCACGCACGCACGCACACACGCACACACACACACACACAGUCCAUUAACUCUACGACGUCACAAAUAUUUAGGAAGGACAUAAAACAAACACAAACCAUUAACCAUCCAUAAACCGGGAGGACAUAAAUUAUUUAUAUACUCCUCUAAAAAAAACACUGUCCGUCACAAUACGACACUCAGCUUAACACAUGCUGCUUGUUGAGCAGCUGGACAGGACAAAAAACGGGGUUGUGUGUUUGUCUCUCUGCUCAGAAUGAAUGAAUGGAAAGACCUGCUCAUCUGUGAUGCAGAUGGAGGAGCUCCACCUGCAGCCUCCCGUCCCCACAGACCCUCAUGGAGGGAACCGGGGAACCAGGGGCUCAUCAGCUGCUGCGUGAACAGCCCCUCACAGGAAGCACCAGUUGCAUCAGAAUCCACAGAACACCUCAGAAACACAGGAACAGGAAGCGUCAUGUCCCAACGCAGCGUGUUGACUGAGCCACCAGAGGGCGCAGCGGAGCCGUAACCAUGGCGGCAGCAGCAGCACAGAGCAGACGGGUGAGCUGCUCAGUCCUCGGAGGUGAGGACGAGUCAGGUCUUUAAUUGUUCACAGGAAAGACCGACAACAACAUCAACAACACGAGCCGUUCAACCCCAGUCUCUCUGGGCUGGUGUCCACUCAGGGAGGAAGAACCUGGGCUGAGGUCUUGAGGUGAUGGGGUUGGUGGUGUGUUCUGCUGGUGUGGUUUGUGCACCUCGAGGACAUGAAGAAAAAGUCUGACCUUAAAAGCAGGACAUGAAUGAAAGCUCUGGAAUUAAAAGCUGGACUCACUGAUCUGGGGUCAGACGUGUCUGCCUGGUGCAUGUGAGCAUGUAUUUAGUUGUGCUACGACUCCACUAGAGGGCGCCAUCCUUCAGUACACACGACUUAUAUGAUGUAGAAGUACGAGUAUGAAGAUGAGCUCGCGCUGUACGACAUGAGGUACUUGAGGUGAGUGGUCCAGAUAAAGAUUAUCUGACAUCAGCACGCGUCAUGUCUCACACCUAGAAGCACAACCUGCUGCAGAACCAGCUGUGGGCCGGUGUCUCUCACCUGGAUACUGCUCGUCUCCAGGUUACCUGACCCAGUUUGACGCGUGAGGGAUGGAGAGGAGCAGGAAACCAUUGAUUUAACAAAUACUGGCUAAUAUUACUCUGCUUUUAAACUUCAGCUUGAGGAAACGAUGGGAAUACUCGUCCCACCACUGAAGGAUUACACUGGUUCCUGCUCUGACUGCAGCAAAGGUCUAAAUAAAGAGUUUAGCUUUAGUUUGUCUGACUGGUUGGAGAUAAUAGUCACUAAUGCACAGGACAAGCUCCUGUCAUUGCUUCCAGUAUUUAAGUCUUACUCUCAUCUGUGCAGCUCAAUAAUAAUACAUGACUGAUCUCUAUAUUUCCACACUCAGCAAACACUCUGCUGCAGUGUCUCCACUCCUGCUAACGCUGCUCUCAGAGGUCACAUAGUGGUGCUUGACCAGUGCGACCAGUGGAAAGCUACUGAAUGGAGCUGUUUCCUGUCCAGUAAAGGGCUCAGGUGUCUGCUGACCAGGGUUGUGAUUUCAAGUCUGAGUCUUCAGGCUGCAUCAGCAUCACAUUAAAGACUAAAGAAGCCUUUUUGAA